GAUGAACGCUGGCGGCGUGCCUAAUACAUGCAAGUCGAGCGAACGGACGAGAAGCUUGCUUCUCUGAUGUUAGCGGCGGACGGGUGAGUAACACGUGGAUAACCUACCUAUAAGACUGGGAUAACUUCGGGAAACCGGAGCUAAUACCGGAUAAUAUUUUGAACCGCAUGGUUCAAAAGUGAAAGAGGGUCUUGCUGUCACUUAUAGAUGGAUCCGCGCUGCAUUAGCUAGUUGGUAAGGUAACGGCUUACCAAGGCAACGAUGCAUAGCCGACCUGAGAGGGUGAUCGGCCACACUGGAACUGAGACACGGUCCAGACUCCUACGGGAGGCAGCAGUAGGGAAUCUUCCGCAAUGGGCGAAAGCCUGACGGAGCAACGCCGCGUGAGUGAUGAAGGUCUUCGGAUCGUAAAACUCUGUUAUUAGGGAAGAACAUAUGUGUAAGUAACUGUGCACAUCUUGACGGUACCUAAUCAGAAAGCCACGGCUAACUACGUG
Molecule: ribosomal RNA, 497 nt
Filed under: uncultured bacterium
Lineage: Bacteria
Description: partial 16S ribosomal RNA
Rfam family: Bacterial small subunit ribosomal RNA
Source: RNAcentral